CUUCAGCCCUAAUUCAAUAAUUGUGCGACGGCAUGCUCAUACAUAUGGUCGUCAACAGCUGAGAUCACCUGAAUGAGUUUAUUUUCGAUUGCUGCGUAUUUAUUGACCAAAAAUGAAUGGGAAAGAAAUGAGAAGGUUCGGCGGCAAAUUUUAAGGGAUCAUUCCAGUCCUUUGGAUAUCCCAGAUUCCGUUUUUGUUGCCUAUUACAGGAUAAGUAAAGAAGCGUUUCAGGGAAUUGUUCGCGAUGUCCAACCAAUAAUAAAACCGUCAUCUAUUAUGGUGGAAAUAAAGCUUGCUACUACUUUGAGGUACCUUGCAGAGGGAGGAUUUCAGCGCUCGGUAGGAAAAGACAUCUCUUGCAAGAAGUACCGUGUGCAAAAUCUUACAUGAGAUGCUAAAUGCUUUGGAAAAAGCACUCUGUCCAAAAUGGAUUCAACUACAAAUGAGCGAAGAAGAAAUUAAAAUGUCGAAAGCACAUUUUUUCAACAAUUUUAGUAUUCCCGGAAUAGUCGGUUGUGUAGACGGGAGGGACACACAUAAAAAUUACGAAGCCCCACCAAAAUGAGCAUUUGUAUUUUAACAGAAAGGGUUACUUCAGCGUUAAUACGAUGAUUAUUUGCGAUUACAGAAUGCGUAUAACGGCUGUGGAUGCAUGCCACCCUGGCUCCAGUCAUGACGCCUUUAUAUUUUCUUUAAGUGGUGCCAAACAAUAUCUUUCAUCCAAGUAUGUGGGCGGAGACCAUAGAUCUUGGCUACUAGGAGAUUCAGGAUAUGGCUUGGAACCAUAUUUACUUACCCCUUAUCGUGAUGCACCCGCUGGAUCACCAGAGCACAAAUUUAAUUUACAACAUUCCAAGGCAAGAAAUAUCGUUGAGAGAGUAAUCGGAGUCCUCAAGAGCCGCUUUAAAUGUCUUCAAACAACUAUGCCAUAUGUCCCAGAGAAAGUUGUAAAAAUUAUAAAUGUAUGCAGUGCUUUGCACAACAUUUGUCGCCAUUAUAACCUGGAUGCCAUUGCUUUAGAUGUAGUGGACGAUUUUUAGGACGAAGAAGUUGCUGAUUAUAGCAGACAUCUACAAACUGCCGCUGUAUCCAUUCGAGAUGAAAUCGCAAAUAAUUUAACGCGCAUAGUUUAAUUUUCAUAUUUUUUUAUUCAAUAAAAACAUCACAUUUAAGUUAAACUUUUUGAC
Long non-coding RNA from Bactrocera tryoni, 1187 nucleotides. RefSeq lists it as uncharacterized. The transcript is spliced from 3 exons. The record is from RefSeq and is a predicted model, not a curated record. Lineage: Eukaryota; Metazoa; Arthropoda; Insecta; Diptera; Tephritidae.